GGCGCCAGCCCCUAGCCCCGAGCUGCCGCGAGGAGGCUGGAGGAGGAGCCGCCCCUCUCUGCAGUUCGGACCCGGGCUCCCGUCUUCCCUACCCGUCCAUGCUCCCGGAUUGGGUGCCCCAGCCGCUCCGGGUCGCUGGGCGGCUUCUUAAUACCCAGCUUCUGGGCAAUGAGCCCAGCUGGGCCGAUCCCGCUGCCUCGACGGCCAUCGGGUCCUGCACCUCCCUCUCUGUGUCAGCCGAGGAUGGGUCGAGCCCCAAACUGCGUCCGACUCCUGGAGCAGAGAGCCCCUUCCUCGACCACCACAAAGAUGACUGACUGAUUCUUUGGGUUUCCUGGCAGCCCCUCCAUCAAUGAAUCUGGAAUCGGGGGCCAGGAGAGAGGACUCAUUAGUUCAGAGCACUCUGGUUGCUCUCGCAGAGGACUGGGGUUCACUUCUCAGCAUCUACAUGACCGCUCACAAUCACCUUUAAGUCCAGCUCCACAGGACCCGAUGCCUCUUCUGGCCUUCAUGGGAAAAUGGACCCUCGUGGAGCAGACAUACAUAUAGGCAAAAUAUCCUUACAUAUAAUAAAACA
Microtus oregoni (creeping vole) is the source of this 577-nucleotide long non-coding RNA. RefSeq lists it as uncharacterized. Lineage: Eukaryota; Metazoa; Chordata; Mammalia; Rodentia; Cricetidae. The transcript is spliced from 3 exons. The record is from RefSeq and is a predicted model, not a curated record.